GGGAGUGUAGCUCAUAUGGUAGAGUGCUUGCUUCGCAUGCGAGAGGCACGGGGUUCAAUUCCCUGCACCUCCA
Molecule: transfer RNA, 73 nt
Filed under: Ipomoea nil (Japanese morning glory)
Lineage: Eukaryota; Viridiplantae; Streptophyta; Magnoliopsida; Solanales; Convolvulaceae
Rfam family: tRNA
About the family: Transfer RNA (tRNA) molecules are approximately 80 nucleotides in length.
Source: Rfam by way of RNAcentral